UACGGGGGGAGCAAGCGUUGUUCGGAUUUACUGGGCGUAAAGGGCGCGUAGGCGGUCAGCACAAGUCAGUUGUGAAAUCUCCGAGCUUAACUCGGAAAGGUCAACCGAUACUGUGCGACUAGAGUGCGGAAGGGGCAACUGGAAUUCUUGGUGUAGCGGUGAAAUGCGUAGAUAUCAGGAGGAACACCGGUGGCGAAGGCGGGUCUCUGGGCCGAUACUGACGCUGAGGAGCGAAAGCGUGGGGAGCGAACAGG
This 254-nucleotide ribosomal RNA is filed under the name uncultured bacterium. Its description in RNAcentral is "partial 16S ribosomal RNA". It matches the Rfam family "Bacterial small subunit ribosomal RNA", at positions 524 to 776 of the family's 1533-position model. The record is from RNAcentral.